AUUGAACGCUGGCGGCAGGCCUAACACAUGCAAGUCGAACGGCAGCACAGAAGAGCUUGCUCUUUGGGUGGCGAGUGGCGGACGGGUGAGUAAUGUCUGGGAAACUGCCCGAUGGAGGGGGAUAACUACUGGAAACGGUAGCUAAUACCGCAUAACGUCGCGAGACCAAAGUGGGGGACCUUCGGGCCUCACACCAUCGGAUGUGCCCAGAUGGGAUUAGCUAGUAGGUGGGGUAAUGGCUCACCUAGGCGACGAUCCCUAGCUGGUCUGAUGGGAUUACCAGCCACACUGGAACUGAGACACGGUCCAGACUCCUACGGGAGGCAGCAGUGGGGAAUAUUGCACAAUGGGCGCAAGCCUGAUGCAGCCAUGCCGCGUGUAUGAAGAAGGCCUUCGGGUUGUAAAGUACUUUCAGCGGGGAGGAAGGCGGUGAGGUUAAUAACCUCGCCGAUUGACGUUACCCGCAGAAGAAGCACCGGCUAACUCCGUGCCAGCCGCCGCCGUAA
RNAcentral lists this ribosomal RNA (506 nucleotides) under uncultured bacterium. Its description in RNAcentral is "partial 16S ribosomal RNA". It matches the Rfam family "Bacterial small subunit ribosomal RNA", at positions 30 to 523 of the family's 1533-position model. The record is from RNAcentral.